ACUAAUGUCUCCUCUCAGCCUUCAUGCUUUAUCUUUCUGAACAGAAUAAAAAGCUGUUUCAGUGUUACCAUGGAGUCAAACUUUCCAGGUGCUUAUCACCUGUUUGGUGAAGACCAGGGCAUACCGUAUCUCUCAGACUCGCUUGGUUUUCCAACCAUGGAUCCUUCUUCACCGGAAGACAACGAUUUCUCAGAAACUGUCAAGUUCAUAAGCCAAAUCCUCAUGGAAGAAAACGUUGACCAGAGGCCAUUCUAUGACUCACUCACCUUGCGAGUUACGGAGAAAUCCUUCUACGAUGCUCUCACUGGCAACCAACCCCCUUUUGUUCUUUGCUCCGAAGCUGAAACCAACACCAUAACCAGCAACAACAGUGGCAGCAAUUUUUUAAAUGAAAAUUCUCGUGAGUUAAACAUCCCUUCCCCACUCUCUGUUUCUGUUUCUGCUAUUCACUUUAACCCCAAUCCUCUUUCUCAACCACUGCCAUCAGUUACAGUUAGUGACCGGGUCUCAGUUUUGGAUUCUUCUAUUGCCAAACUCUUAGCGCAGAAUAUUUCCAUUGAGGUUGAUUCUGUUUCCAAGUUUAGGAGAGGCUUGGAGGAAGCUACCAAGUUUCUUCCUCCGGAGCCUAAACUUGUAACUGGUCUGGAUUUAUAUAGAGAGCAAGCAAUCAAUUCGUCCGGAGACACUUCGUAUAGGUUGAAUAGUAGGAAGAAUCACGGGUGUGAAGUGAGAGACACCAGAGAAGAAGAAGAAGAAGAAGGAGGGAGAAGUAACAAGCAAUCAGCACUUUCCCUUGUUGAUGAGACUGACCUGUCAGAUGCUUUUGAUCAGGUGUUGCUUCACGAGGAAAACUUGUGGAAUGAACACACUUGUUUGCAGAGUGAAGCAGAGAAGGUUGAGGGACCAAAUGGAGGGAAGGGUGGUUCAGACAAAAAAGUGAGGAAGAAGAAGAAAACAGUGGACUUGAGGAAUCUUCUGUUGAUGUGUUCACAAGCUGUGUAUGCCAGUGACAUCAGGGCUGCCAAUGAAUUGCUAAAGCAGAUUAGGCAACACUCUUCUCCCAUUGGGGAUGCAUCACAGAGGUUGGCUCAUUACUUUGCCAAUGGCCUCGAGGCACGCUUGGUUGGGGAUGGUACAAGUACCCAAGGAAUGUAUACUUUUCUGAGCUCUAAGAACAUCACUUUUUCUGAGUUACUCAAGGCAUACCAGGUUUUCAGUUCCUCCAGCCCUUUCAAGAAGUUUGCAUAUUUAUUUGAAAAUACAAUGAUUAUGAAAGCAGCUGCAAGUGCAGAAACCGUCCAUAUUAUUGAUUUUGGCAUCCUACACGGUUUCCAGUGGCCAAUGCUCAUUAGGCUUUUGUCAAAUAGGGAGGGUGGACCUCCCAAGCUUAGGAUCACAGGGAUAGAGUUUCCCCAACCUGGCUUUCGUCCCACAGAAAAAAUUGAGGAAACGGGUCGCCACCUGGCUAACUAUUGUAAGCGUUACAAUGUUCCCUUUGAGUAUAAUGCCAUAUCAUCAAGGAACUGGGAAACCAUUCAGCUUGAAGCCCUCAAAAUUGCAAGCAAUGAGCUAGUUGCUGUCUACUGUCACCAGAGGUUUGAGAAUUUACUGGAUGAGUGUACUAUUGAAGUGAACAGUCCUAGAAAUGCAGUCCUGCAUUUGAUCAGGAAGAUAAAUCCGGAUAUUUUUACUCACUCCAUCACUAACGGAUCAUAUAAUGCCCCUUUCUUUACCACGCGGUUUAGGGAGGCUCUCUUUCAUUAUUCUGCCAUUUCUGAUAAGAAUGACACUGUCAUAUCUCGUGAAAACGAAAGGAGGUUGAUGGUUGAGAGAGAGCUUUAUGGCAGGGAGAUUAUGAAUGUUAUAGCAUGUGAAGGUUCUGACAGGAUUGAGAGGCCUGAGACCUACAAACGGUGGCAGGUUAGGAAUAUGAAGGCUGGUUUCAAGCAGCUACCACUGAAUGAGGAAUUAAUGGCCAAAUUUAGGAGUAAGUUAAAGGAAUACCACAGAGAUUUUGUCUUAGAUGAAAAUAACAACUGGAUGCUUCAAGGUUGGAAGGGCCGCAUUUUGUUUGCUUCCUCUUGUUGGGUGCCGGCAUAAUGAGAUGCUACUGUGACUCGGUUCAGAAUUCAUACUAUGCUAAAGGUAUGAUUCCAAGAAUCAGUCAUUGGCUUUAACUCUAUCCACUUCUUUUUUUCCCUGGUUCUGAUAUUCUUGGUCUGGCUACCUACUUACUCUACCUUCAGCUUUUGUGAUGAAGAUUGUACCAAGCUUUGCACCAAGUUCCUUGGUAAAAUUAUAGCAUCACUUUUCUGGUAGAUUAAGACUUGUGAAGGUAAUACAAUUUCGUUAGUGAUAUUGAUAAGAAGGGCAUAUUAGUCAUCAGAGUAGGAGGGCCAUUAUAGCAUGUUUGCCCAAGUACUUGCAAUCCUAUUAUUGAGUUAUUUUCUCUUUAACCAACAUGUAUCAGGCAUUUCACGUCCUUCUAUUUAAGUUUGUUAAUUUCUUUUACAGGAUACUUGUCUUUUGAGACAAAUUAGUUGAGAAGAUGUGAUUAAUUUGAAACAGAUGAUGACUAUGUUCCGUUUGUUUUUUCCGGUGAUAUUCUUGCUUGCAGUUUUGUAUUUCUAUAUAUAGCAACUUAUGUGAAAAUCAUGAUUUCCUCUCAGCAUCUCUAAAAUUUACUGGUAAUUUGUUCCA
Glycine soja is the source of this 2700-nucleotide RNA transcript. It is a transcript of the gene named scarecrow-like protein 14, with no coding region annotated. The transcript is spliced from 2 exons. The record is from RefSeq and is a predicted model, not a curated record. Lineage: Eukaryota; Viridiplantae; Streptophyta; Magnoliopsida; Fabales; Fabaceae.